GUAAAGGCAAAAGAGAGCUUGAUUGCAAGACAUACAGGUCGAGCAAGGAUGAAAAUCGGACUUAGUGAUCCGGUGGUUCUGCGUGGAAGGGCCAUCGCUCAACGGAUAAAAGCUACCCUGGGGAUAACAGGCUUAUCCCCCCCAAGAGUCCACAUCGACGGGGAGGUUUGGCACCUCGAUGUCGGCUCAUCACAUCCUGGGGCUGUAGUAGGUCCCAAGGGUUGGGCUGUUCGCCCAUUAAAGUGGUACGCGAGCUGGGUUCAGAACGUCGU
This 272-nucleotide ribosomal RNA is filed under the name Clostridioides difficile. Its description in RNAcentral is "partial 23S ribosomal RNA". It matches the Rfam family "Bacterial large subunit ribosomal RNA", at positions 2351 to 2622 of the family's 2925-position model. Lineage: Bacteria; Bacillati; Bacillota; Clostridia; Peptostreptococcales; Peptostreptococcaceae. The record is from RNAcentral.